AUUGCCUCCUGUACCAGGGCAGAUUACUGGCUAUGUAGCACAAAAGUUAUAGAUAUGGCUGAUCUUGUCACAAAUCUGACUUGCAAGACUUAUGUAGACAUUUUUUCUUUUCAUAACAAUGAACAGGAAGCAAGAAAGAAAUUUUAAAGAGAAAAAUAGGUGCAGAGUUGUCACAAACAAUAAGGAACUCAACAUGUAACAAGAGUGAGUUCACAAAACAAAUAUCCAGAAAUAAAUUCCAAACUCAAACCUUCCUCUGGCUAACUAAGCAAGUCCAUUCCAAAUUCUAGAAUCCCAAUAAUCUAGUCAACAUGUUUUGGUCAAACCCAUGAAAAGAAAUGGAGAAAAGUUAGAAAACAUCUUUUUCUUAACAUUAAUAUUCCUAAGGUAGGAUUCUAUGCUAAAUAGCUAGAUUCAAGCUGUACGUCUAUGUUGUAUUGAAUUUAUAAGGAUGUCUCAGUAAAUUUACAGAUUAAAAAAUGGAUUGAAGGAGGCAAAAAAAGCAUUGUGAAAAUUUCAUCAGGAUUGAAAACACUGUGUGGGUAAAAAAUUACUAUCCAUAGUAGUCAAUGAUGAAAUAAAACGUACAGCGAGAAAGCAUGGCCCAAAUGCCCACUAAGCUCAUAUAAGACAUCUUUUUUUUUCCCCCAUAUAAGACAUCUUAUUACUUACCCAUCUGCUUUCUUUUGGAAUUCAUAUGAGAGGUCAGUCAGAUAAAGGUUUUUUAAAGAAGCAGCACGAAGAAAUUAUAAAAUGCAGAGUGGUAAAAGGGAAAACAAGGACUGUCUCAGGUGUAGAGGCUUUCUGCCCAUUAAGAUGACCAGAAUUCUAUCACUAGUAAUUAAAAACUGAUAUUUUGGGGGCACCUGGGUGGCUAAGUUGGUUAAGCAUUCGAUUUCAGCUCAGGUCAUGAUCUCACAGUCGGUGAGUUCAAGCCCUGUGUGGGGCUCUGUGCUGAUAGCUCGGGCCUGGAGCCUGCUUCAGAUUCUGUGUCUCCCUCACUCUCUUCUUCCCCACUUGUGCUCUGUCUCUGUCUCUCAAAAAUAAACAUAAAAAAGCCCUGAUAUUUUGGUGUCAGAUUGUAUAUUAUGUGCACACUCAUAUACAAUAUUUAAGAUUCAAUCCCGCCCCCCACCUUUUAUUUAAUAUCUAUUUAUGCCUUUAGUUACCUCUUGUGUUAAUUUUGGUAUGAACCUCGAGCUGGGGAUCACUUGAAACCAUGCAAGGCCACCAAGGAUAGGUUCCCACCUUAGACCAAACAAGAUCGCCAACCUGGAACUUAACACCAGCUGACACUUCUGUUGUUGGAACAGAAGAUAAUAUUGGCUGAACCUACAGGAAAAGGUCAUAAAACUUCAUUAGCACACAAAGUUAAAAAAAAGACAUUAUGUACAAGUACAUUAAACAUGUUAACCUAGUAA
RNAcentral lists this long non-coding RNA (1421 nucleotides) under Lynx pardinus (Iberian lynx). The record is from RNAcentral. Lineage: Eukaryota; Metazoa; Chordata; Mammalia; Carnivora; Felidae.